Molecule: ribosomal RNA, 253 nt
Filed under: uncultured bacterium
Lineage: Bacteria
Description: partial 16S ribosomal RNA
Rfam family: Bacterial small subunit ribosomal RNA
Source: RNAcentral
UACGUAGGGACCGAGCGUUGUCCGGAAUCAUUGGGCGUAAAGAGCGUGUAGGCGGCUCGCUAAGUCUUGCGUGAAAUCUCGGGGCUCAACCCCGAGCGGUCGUGAGAAACUGGCGGGCUAGAGUGCGGGAGAGGAGAGUGGAAUUCCUGGUGUAGCGGUGAAAUGCGCAGAUAUCAGGAGGAACACCGGUGGCGAAGGCGGUUCUCUGGGCAUUACCUGACGCUGAGGAGCGAAAGUGUGGGGAGCGAACAGG